UUAAACGCUGUGAUCAGGGAAAGUAGGCUAUAUGGAGUGGCCAGAGAGGGGCUCCUUGGCUGGAAGAGUCCUACACAAAAGUAUAGCUGAAGUGCACCUGUGAGCGUUAGGCUGAAAUUCAGUAGGCUGAGACGGGUCCACCCGUUAUAGUGGGACGGCAUGAUGGUGCCGGAUAGAGAUGGGAUUAUUGUCCCAAUCAGAGUGGAACCGCGGAGAUUAAGCCUUCGCCUCUGAA
Molecule: non-coding RNA, 235 nt
Filed under: Caloramator australicus
Lineage: Bacteria; Bacillati; Bacillota; Clostridia; Eubacteriales; Clostridiaceae
Description: T-box sequence
Rfam family: T-box leader
About the family: Uncharged tRNA acts as the effector for transcription antitermination of genes in the T-box leader family.
Source: RNAcentral